GCCCAUAGGUCUGGGAUAACCACGAGAAAUCGGGGCUAAUACCGGAUGUGUCAUCGGACCGCAUGGUCCGCUGAUGAAAGGCGCUCCGGCGUCGCCCAUGGAUGGCUUUGCGGUGCAUUAGCUAGUUGGUGGGGUAACGGCCCACCAAGGCGACGAUGCAUAGCCGACCUGAGAGGGUGAUCGGCCACACUGGGACUGAGACACGGCCCAAACUCCUACGGGAGGCAGCAGUAGGGAAUCUUCCACAAUGGACGAAAGUCUGAUGGAGCAACGCCGCGUGAACGAUGAAGGCUUUCGGGUCGUAAAGUUCUGUUGUAAGGGAAGAACAAGUGCCGCAGGCAAUGGCGGCACCUUGACGGUACCUUGCGAGAAAGCCACGGCUAACUACGUGCCAGCAGCCGCGGUAAUACGUAGUGGCAAGCGUUGUCCGGAAUUAUUGGGCGUAAAGCGCGCGCAGCGGCCUCUUAAGUCUGAUGUGAAAGCCCCCGGCUCAACCGGGGAC
RNAcentral lists this ribosomal RNA (502 nucleotides) under Exiguobacterium profundum. RNAcentral describes it as "bacterial SSU rRNA". It matches the Rfam family "Bacterial small subunit ribosomal RNA", at positions 128 to 620 of the family's 1533-position model. Lineage: Bacteria; Bacillati; Bacillota; Bacilli; Caryophanales. The record is from RNAcentral.